AUUGAACGCUGGCGGCAUGCCUAACACAUGCAAGUCGAACGGCAGCACGGCAGUAGCAAUACUGUGGGUGGCGAGUGGCGGACGGGUGAGGAAUACGUCGGAAUCUGCCCAGUCGUGGGGGAUAACUAGCCGAAAGGUUAGCUAAUACCGCAUACGACCGAGAGGUGAAAGCGGGGGACCGCAAGGCCUCGCGCGAUUGGAUGAGCCGACGUCGGAUUAGCUAGUUGGUGGGGUAAAGGCCCACCAAGGCGACGAUCCGUAGCUGGUCUGAGAGGAUGAUCAGCCACACUGGAACUGAGACACGGUCCAGACUCCUACGGGAGGCAGCAGUGGGGAAUAUUGGACAAUGGGCGCAAGCCUGAUCCAGCAAUGCCGCGUGUGUGAAGAAGGCCUCGGUUGUAAGACACUUUAUUCAGAACGAAAGACGUGGAGUUAAUACUACUGACGUGC
RNAcentral lists this ribosomal RNA (450 nucleotides) under uncultured bacterium. Its description in RNAcentral is "bacterial SSU rRNA". It matches the Rfam family "Bacterial small subunit ribosomal RNA", at positions 29 to 477 of the family's 1533-position model. The record is from RNAcentral.